RNAcentral lists this ribosomal RNA (497 nucleotides) under uncultured bacterium. Its description in RNAcentral is "partial 16S ribosomal RNA". It matches the Rfam family "Bacterial small subunit ribosomal RNA", at positions 28 to 507 of the family's 1533-position model. The record is from RNAcentral.
GAUGAACGCUGGCGGCGUGCCUAACACAUGCAAGUCGAGCGAACAGACGAGGAGCUUGCUCCUCUUACGUUAGCGGCGGACGGGUGAGUAAUACGUGGAUAACCUACCUUUGAGACUGGGAUCACUUCGGGAAACCGGAUCUAAUACCGGAUAAUAUAUUGAACCGCAUGGUUCUAUAGUGAAAGACGGUUUUGCUGUUCCUUAGAGAUGGCUCCCCGUCGCUUUAGUUAGUUGGUAAGGUAACGGCUUAGCAAGGCGAGGAUGCGGUGCCGACGUGAGAGGGUGAUCGGCCACACUGGAACGGAGACACGGUCCAGACUCCUACGGGAGGCAGCAGUAGGGAAUCUUCGGCAAUGGGCGAAAGCCUGACGGAGCAACGCCGCGUGAGUGAUGAAGGUCUUCGGAUCGUAAAGCUCUGUUAUUAGGGAAGAACAACUGUGAGAGUAAAUAUACACGUCUUGACGGUACCUACACAAAAAGCCCCGGCUAACUACGUG